CAAGAUUGAACUGAAGAGUUUGAUCAUGGCUCAGAUUGAACGCUGGCGGCAGGCCUAACACAUGCAAGUCGGACGGCAGCACG
This 83-nucleotide ribosomal RNA is filed under the name Ventosimonas gracilis. RNAcentral's name for it is "partial 16S ribosomal RNA". It matches the Rfam family "Bacterial small subunit ribosomal RNA", at positions 1 to 76 of the family's 1533-position model. Lineage: Bacteria; Pseudomonadati; Pseudomonadota; Gammaproteobacteria; Pseudomonadales; Ventosimonadaceae. The record is from RNAcentral.